This 497-nucleotide ribosomal RNA is filed under the name uncultured bacterium. RNAcentral's name for it is "partial 16S ribosomal RNA". It matches the Rfam family "Bacterial small subunit ribosomal RNA", at positions 28 to 507 of the family's 1533-position model. The record is from RNAcentral.
GAUGAACGCUGGCGGCGUGCCUAAUACAUGCAAGUCGAGCGAACAGACGAGGAGCUUGCUCCUCUGACGUUAGCGGCGGACGGGUGAGUAACACGUGGAUAACCUACCUAUAAGUCUGGGAUAACUUCGGGAAACCGGAGCUAAUACCGGAUAAUAUAUUGAACCGCAUGGUUCAAUAGUGAAAGACGGUUUUGCUGUCACUUAUAGAUGGAUCUGCGCCGCAUUAGCUGGUUGGUAAGGUAACGGCUUACCAAGGCAACGAUGCGUAGCCGACCUGAGAGGGUGGUCGGCCCCACUGGAACUGAGACGCGGUCCAGACUCCUACGGGAGGCAGCAGUAGCGAAUCUUCCGCAAUAGGCGAAAGCUUGACGGAGCAACGCCGCGUGAGUGAUGAAGGUCUUCGGAUCGUAAAACUCUGUUAUUAGGGAAGAACAAAUGUGUAAGUAACUAUGCACGUCUUGACGGUACCUAAUCAGAAAGCCACGGCUAACUACGUG